CAGAGCUCAUGUCUUUCCUUCGGUGCUUGCUUGCAGAUUUUUGUUUUUAACUGCUAAACUUUUGGCACAGAAGUUCCUGUUACACCGGUUGAUGGUCGUUGCCAGCCUCCCCCAGCAACUCAAUGACAGGAGAGACCUGGGAGUAGACUACAAGGAGCUGAACCAGUGCUUGCAGAGUCUUCCAGCGAGAUUCGUGUGUCUCUGCUGCAGGAUCUGAGAAACAUGCAGGAACGGCCACACUGGCAUAGUAUCUUACUUCAUGCAAAUUUGAAUCAAUAUAUAAUAGUUAUAUCUGUUCUGGCACUAAAUUCAGAGGGUCAAGCAUGUGCGUUCUGUUGACAGACCAACCAAAGUCAUUAUAGCUUGACUAAAACUUGGCCAUAAACAUUGUUUGACAUGCUGUCUUGAUGUUGUCAUGGUCCCUGUCAUCGUCAUGCAGCGUCCUGAUCGAGGCGCCCAGGGUCCUGGUGAUGUGACAUUACAUUCCCAACAGGAUGUUUCAGCAGUAGAGCUGCAAGGUGCUGAACGUGCAGCCCAGGGUGGGAGGGGCUCUGAGUAGGGACAGGCUGAUGACGAGGAGGAGGACACAGAAACACUGGUCAGCACUGGGAAACCACCUCCUCAAAGCAACCAAUGGUUUAAAGAUGCCCCCGGGCUUUUCGUUGGAUGAGAUACCAGAGAUGAUAGUUCCUCCGGACGUCUUGGUCCAGCACCUGUCCAGUGGAGAACUUCUAAGCCCCAAGCUCUUAGAAAAAAGGGUUCCAAAAGGGUUCACUGGCUGUCCCCAUAGGAUAACCCUUUUUGGUUCCAGGUAGAACCGUUUUGGGUUCCAUGUAGAACCAUUUGUGGAAAGGCUUCUAAAUGGAACCCAAAAGGGUUCUACCUGGAACCAUAAAAUAUUCAAAGGGUUCUCCUAUGGGGCAGCAGAAGAACCCUUUUAGGGUUCUAGAUAGCACCUUUUUUUCUAAGAGUGUACCUGCGGGCCUAACACACCCUUUGCCACAUCCUCAUGGACUCUGGUGAGCAGGACUUUACACACUCAUCAACAGGGCUGGUUAACUCCAUUUGAAUUCAGUGAAUUUAAUAAGUUAUAUGAAG
This is a long non-coding RNA of Oncorhynchus tshawytscha (Chinook salmon), 1098 nucleotides long. The record is from Ensembl. Lineage: Eukaryota; Metazoa; Chordata; Actinopteri; Salmoniformes; Salmonidae.